AUGGCGGAGCUGGCCGCAGGCGCUGUGAGCUCGCUACUGGGCGUCAUCCGCAACGAGGCGCAACUGCUCGGCCGCGUCGGGCACGAUGUGCAGUUCAUCCGGGAGGAGAUGGAGAGCAUGCAGAGCUUCUUGACGCACCUGUCAAGGAAGGAGCCCACCGACGGCGAGCACGACGAGCAGAUCCGCACCUGGAUGAACCAGGUCAGGCUGCUCGCCCAGGACAGCAACAACUGCAUCGACAUGUACCUGUACCGUGGUAACCCCGAGCUCCAUCUUGCCAGGGGCGGCCUCCGGCGCUACGUCGCGUGGCUUCCCUGGUUCCUGCACAAAAUGGUGGCGCAGCAUCGCGCGGCCAUCCAGCUACGUGUGCUCAGGGAACGGGCACGCGACAUUGGGGAGCGGCGUUUGAGGUAUGGCGUUGAGGUCCCAGCGAAAGGGACGGGAGCGGAGCAGUCACCUACAGGGGCUGGGCUCAUGCCGGUGGCAACAUCAUCAUCGUCGGCAUAUUUUACCCCAUCACCUGCUGCUUUCGGAGAUGAAGAAGAAGACAACGACAGUCAGCUUAUGGUGGGAAUGGCAGCGACUAAGCAUUCUGCUCCAAUAGGGGCAAUUUACCAGCCUCGUACACCGGAGGACAAUGUUAGGGUGAGGUUGGCCGAAUGGAUAAAAUAUGUUGCACAAGGCAACACUUCUAAGGAGAAAUCAAUAGCAUCUGUUGCCAUUGUGGCACCGGAUAAGGAAGAAACCCUCGCUCUUGCAAUGGAAGCUUCGGCUAUCUGGGAUAAACAUGCCACUGGCAGGCGGUGUGUCUUGGUGGACAUCCCAGGAGUGCACUUUUUUCGUGAUUGGCUUCAAUCCCGGGACAUUCUCUACUACAUCAUGUGUGUGCUGCGCCAGCAAGGUCAAGGCCGGGGAGAGGAGGAGCAAGAUCUUGACAAAAGGAAAACAGCUAUUGGCUCAGAAAAACGGAAGUUGUUUGAUGAAAUAACAAAAAAUAUCAAGAGGAUGAAGCUUGACAACAAGAUUUCAGAGAUCAAGGGUACUAUUACACAAAUAAAGGGCGGCCAGCGGCAGCUCAACCUGGAAGAAAUGAAUGGUGACCAACUAGACCUGUUGAAAUCCUCUAAAGAUGAACCCUUGGGCGUACUCCUCCGAGCCAUGUGGUUGCUGAAGCAAAAGCCAGAUGAUGGUUCGUCUGCUACCAAACCCGUAAACCAAGAAACAAAGGAAGCAACACUUUUAGAGAGGAAAGAAGCAAAACCACUCUCGCAUGAAAAUAUCAUCAAGGAAACAGCCAAGAACCUUAAAAAUCAUAUGGAAGAAAAUGCAGAUGAGAAUCAGAAGCCUAAAGAUCUUACUGAAGAGUCAAGAGCGGAACCAAUUCAUCUCGAGAGAGCCCAUUAUGAACAUAUCCUACGGAUGGUGUUCCCAGUGAAGCCCCUGCAAAUCCGAGAGCAAGACUCCAACCAAGCUACCAUCACUGGAACUACUAUAUUGGCUGAUGACCCAUUUAAAGAAGUAAUCCGCAAGGUCUUAAUGGAGCUGCAGGGUGAUACAUCCAUGAAAAAACUAGAUAAAGCUGAGAUUCAGAAAGACAAAUCCAAGCAACCUGACACACCUGAGUUGAAGGAAUACAACCAGUCCGUAAAGAAACAAGAUGCAACUGCUAGUAAAUCCAAUCUGGAUUGUAUCCCAGUCCCAGAUGCUCUUAUUGAAGAAAUCACAAAGAAGAUUGGACAAAUUGAGUGGAGGUUGAAAGAGCAGCUCAAGAUCAAAGGAAUUAUAGACAAAAUUAAUGAUUGUUUGAAGAUACCAGAUAGUCCCAUCUUGGUUAUCCUCAAACUGGAUAAUGACUUCAUAUCCGGAUGGGAAGACACCAAAAAUGCUUUCAACAUGUUUGGUCGCAUAGCAGGUGCACUGAUGUUGAAAACCACAGAAUAUGCUACACGAGCCAAGGAAUAUUGUUUUCCGCCACAGGAGCCUAUAGACUAUUCUCUUCUUGGCCUCUACCGUGACACUGCAUUCGAGCUUACAAAAAAGCAGAUUACUGAAGAUAGCGCCAAGAUUCUGCUUGACAUCUUGGACAAAUGCAAGUCACAUGAAUUAUGUAUGAAGAUCUUCGUUCAUGCUUUGUAUGCCAACCCAAAAAGGAGCAAUGAGGAGCUACGUAAGUUGCAUGGAACCCUGCAACAGGUUUCAGACAACUCAUUGGACAACAUUGCUAAGAAGAUUUUAAAGUUCUCUUAUGGUGAUCUUCCUAAGGAAUACAAGUCUUGCUUGAUGUACCUGGCUAUUUUCCCUCGACAACAAGCCAUCAAGCCGUCGACCUUGAUAGGACGGUGGGUUGUAGAAGGCCUCAUAGCAAAGGAAGACUGGGCCAGUUCUGUGCGUCAUGCCAAUCGAUGUUUUGAUGCACUUGUCAACCGGUGGCUUGUUUAUCCUGCUGACAUUGGAGCUACAGGUCAUGCAAAGAGUUGUGUGAUAGGUGAUCUAGUUCAUGGAUUCAUUACCAAGAUUGCCAGAAAACAGCGCAUCAUGGAAACACGCCUAUCACAUCACUUGGCUCGCCACUUCUCCAUUUUCAAUGAUCUCCGACUCCGUGGCUCUGACAGAAUCGAUAGAUUCUUCCAAAAGCUCUAUGAAGAAUCAUCUCGAGUAUCUCUGAUCAAGGUGUUAGAUCUUGAUGGUUGCCAAUGCUUUGGAGGGAAGAACCAAAGCUACCUUAAGGACAUAUGCAACACAAUGUUACUGCUCAAGUAUCUGAGCCUAAGGGGAUCAAAUGUUACCCAUCUGCCAAGUGAAAUCAACAACCUCCGUGAACUGGAAGUACUGGAUAUCCGAGAGACCAAGGUGCACCCAUCUGCAACGGUAAAUGUUUUACUCCUGAAGCUCAAGCGUUUGCUAGCUGGUCGAGUUGUUCAGAGUUUAGGGUCAAGCAGUACUGCACUAUCUAGUGUUGAAGUUCCUGACAAAGUAGAAAAAAUGUUAAGCAUGGAGGUAUUGUCCAAUGUCAAGGCACGGAAUAGACAAGAUUUGAAAGAUAUUGGAAAACUGUGGCAGCUAAGGAAGCUUGGUGUGGUUAUUGAACACAAGGACUCACACUUCAAGAAUUUGCUUCGAGCUAUUAGUGAUCUGCAUGAGUGCCUCAAGUCUCUGUCAAUCACUCUUCCCAUGGUAGAUGAAGACCCUUCCAACCAAGAGUUCACAGAAUGGGUUCUUGAACGCUAUAAAGACUCUCCCAAGCUUCUUGAGAGCCUAAGCAUUGUUGGAACCCCACAAACGGUGCAGCUUCUUCGGUUGUUGACCAAAGAUAGUGGCCAACUCCAUCUUGCCAAGGUAACUUUAUCUGGUACCCAUAUGACGUGGGAUGAUCUUGAGGUCCUUGCCAAGCUACCCAAGUUAAUUUCUGUCAGGCUCCGACACAAGGCAUACAUCGAUAGGAAGCUCACUUUCAAGAAGGAGGAAUUUAAGAAUCUCAAGUGCUUUCUUGUUGAGGAUUGUAACAUUACUGACAUCAACUUUGAAGGUGGAGCUCCUAAGCUUGAGAAGAUCAUCCUUUCCUCCAUUGAUAGCCUACAGUAUAUUUAUGGAGUUGAAGGACUUUUAGAACUGAAGGAAGUCGAGUUGAAGAACAACACCAAGCUUUCAUUAUUUGACAAGGCCAGAAACAUAUCCAAGGUGACUCUUUGUCGUACCAUUCUGAGUCAAGAUGAGGUACAAAUUCUGGCCAAGAUAUCUAGCAUGCGCACCCUAGUACUCAAGGAGACAUCUUAUGUACAAAACCAACUUAUCUUCUACAAAGACGACUUCCCAAGGCUCAACCUUCUUAUUGUCGACUUUUCUGCCAUUCCCAAUGUUAGCUUUACUGGCGGAUCUGCUACUAGGCUCGAGAAAAUCAUCUGGUCCUUCAUGAUGGGUACUAUCUCCGGCAUUGACAACCUUCCAAAACUAAAGGAGUUCGAGUUCAAUGGUGAUUUUGUCCCCAAUCAGGUGAACGAAGCAAUUAACAAACAUAAAAACAUUCCCAAGCUUAUACACAACAAACCAGAAAACCAAUACAAAGAAGCGGGAAACAUACAGGAAAAGAAAGAUGUUACAAGAUUCCCAUUCUGCUGGAAGAGACAGGAUUGA
This 4131-nucleotide ribosomal RNA is filed under the name Triticum aestivum (bread wheat). RNAcentral's name for it is "partial small subunit ribosomal RNA". Lineage: Eukaryota; Viridiplantae; Streptophyta; Magnoliopsida; Poales; Poaceae. The record is from RNAcentral.